AGGACGAACGCUGGCGGCGUGCGUAACACAUGCAAGUCGAACGAGUGUAGCAAUACACGAGUGGCGGACGGGUGAGGAACACGUGGCUACCAACCUGGCACUGGGGAAUACCCGUGAGAAAUCAUGGUUAAUACCGCAUACGCCCGCAAGGGGAAAGUCGCAAGACGGUGCGAGACGGGGCUGCGCCCGAUUAGCUAGUUGGUGGGGUAAUGGCCUACCAAGGCGUCGAUCGGUAACUGGUCUGAGAGGAUGGCCAGUCACAUUGGGAUUGAGAACGGCCCAAAUCCCUACGGGGGAGCAGCAGUGAGGAAUCUUCCACAAUGGGCGCAA
Molecule: ribosomal RNA, 330 nt
Filed under: uncultured bacterium
Lineage: Bacteria
Description: SSU rRNA
Rfam family: Bacterial small subunit ribosomal RNA
Source: RNAcentral